Molecule: transfer RNA, 76 nt
Filed under: Zetaproteobacteria bacterium
Lineage: Bacteria; Pseudomonadati; Pseudomonadota; Candidatius Mariprofundia
Also listed under: 1 other name
Description: tRNA-Thr
Rfam family: tRNA
About the family: Transfer RNA (tRNA) molecules are approximately 80 nucleotides in length. Their secondary structure includes four short double-helical elements and three loops (D, anti-codon, and T loops).
Source: RNAcentral
GCUGGCGUAGCUCAGCAGGUAGAGCGGCUGAUUUGUAAUCAGCGGGUCGGGGGUUCGAUUCCCUCCGCCAGCUCCA